RNAcentral lists this non-coding RNA (654 nucleotides) under Pan troglodytes (chimpanzee). The record is from RNAcentral. Lineage: Eukaryota; Metazoa; Chordata; Mammalia; Primates; Hominidae.
UUUUUGAGAAUCAUGAUGAGGCAUUAAAGAAGAGGAGGAGUGUCUCAAGGGAGGUGAGCUGGAGGUGAUGCAAGGAUGUCUGAUCUGAAAGCAUGUUGUGGUCCGCUACACACAAGAGCAAAAGAAGAGCAGAAAGGAGCUCAGUGCCAAGACCAUAGCCACAGGAAGAAAACCAGCUCUUAGGGCUGCAGCUCUAAAGACAGGCCAGGUCAUUACAGGAACGUCUGCUCCCUUAGCCUUGCCAGACAGAAGAGGGUUAAGAAAGGAACUGCUGACCCUGAUAUGCAAACUGCCACGAGUGCUUCCUGCCUUUCUAUCAGCGUCAGAUGGCUAGCGAUGGAUGGCUGUAAGGUUGAUGUAAUUAAUAUUUUAUUUUCAGCGCCACGGUGCUGGUUGGGUGCACCAGACAAAUCAACCAACAGAUUAAAGAGUGAUGGAGAAAGCUGUGUUUUGGGCCUCAUUUGGGAACAGAAUGGAAGAGUUGAGGGUGGAAGGGACCUCAGCAAGUCUUCUGAUCCAUGUUUCAGCCUUCAUUUCCCCAUAACCUCAAGGAGAGAGUUGCUUUUCCUGUUCUUCAAAUGAGUUCCUUGAAUUCACACUCUAUUUCUUUGAAUUUGCACAGACUGUUGAGGAACAGGCGGCAGGGUCACUCUA